Streptococcus sp. HSISB1 is the source of this 100-nucleotide non-coding RNA. Lineage: Bacteria; Bacillati; Bacillota; Bacilli; Lactobacillales; Streptococcaceae. The record is from Rfam.
UAAAGCUGACAUAAAAACACAUCGCAGUUGGUAGUCUGUGAGUACAACAUGUAUCAGUAACCUUCCCCUUCCGAGGUCGUCCAUUGUCAAUUUUUUUAAG